UACGUAGGAUGCAAGCGUUGUCCGGAUUUACUGGGCGUAAAGCGCGCGCAGGCGGCCCUCUAAGUCCGCUGUGAAAUAUCCCGGCUCAACCGGGAGGGUGCAGUGUAGACUAGAGAGCUUGAGGUCGGUAGAGGGGGGUAGAAUUGCUGGUGUAGCGGUGAAAUGCGUAGAGAUCAGCAGGAAUACCCGUGGCGAAGGCGGCCCCCUGGGCCGUACCUGACGCUGAGGCGCGAAGGCUAGGGGAGCGAACGGG
This 253-nucleotide ribosomal RNA is filed under the name uncultured bacterium. Its description in RNAcentral is "partial 16S ribosomal RNA". It matches the Rfam family "Bacterial small subunit ribosomal RNA", at positions 524 to 776 of the family's 1533-position model. The record is from RNAcentral.